Molecule: ribosomal RNA, 774 nt
Filed under: uncultured Neocallimastigales
Lineage: Eukaryota; Fungi; Neocallimastigomycota; Neocallimastigomycetes; Neocallimastigales
Description: partial large subunit ribosomal RNA
Rfam family: Eukaryotic large subunit ribosomal RNA
Source: RNAcentral
UUAUCUCUGUAGAGUCUGCAUAUCAAUAAGCGGAGGAAAAGAAACUAACUAGGAUUCCCUCAGUAACGGCGAGUGAAGCGGGAAGAGCUCAAAUUUGAAAUCUUCAAGGUUCUACCUUGACGAAUUGUAGUUUAAAGAAGUGUUUUCUGUUGGAGUUUUGGUAAAAGUUCUUUGGAAUAGGACAUCAUAGAGGGUGAGAAUCCCGUAUUUGACCAUUAUUUCCAGCUUUGUGAUACACUUUCAAAGAGUCGGAUUGUUUGGGAAUGCAGUCCAAAAUGGGUGGUAAAUUUCAUCUAAAGCUAAAUAUUGGCGAGAGACCGAUAGCGAACAAGUACCGUGAGGGAAAGAUGAAAAGAACUUUGAAAAGAGAGUUAAACAGUACGUGAAAUUGUCAAAAGGGAAGCGUUUGACACCAGUGUUGUUUUCUCGAAAAUCAAUUAAAAAAGGCAGGAUUUUGUGUUGUAUUGACUUUAUCAGCUUUCUGCACUCUUUUCUUGUCUUUUUUAAUGCACUUUUCGUUUAACAAGUCAACAUCAAUUUCUUUUGUUGUAAAAGGGUCAUUGGAAGGUGGCUUCUUUUCGGAGAAAGUGUUUAUAGCCUUUGGCCUCUGCAAUCGGAGAGAUUGAGGUCUGCAGCGUAGAUCCUUCGGGGUUAGAUACAUUUGUGCUAAGUUAUAGCCUUUCAUAGACAACUUGUUGACUAUGAUCAGUCAUGUAGCUUACUCGCUUAUGCUAUUUUACCUACGCUUAGGAUGUUGACGAUCAGCUGAGCGCG